GGCAAGGCUGGUCUCCUAUCUUCUACUCCAACCGAGAGAGAAAAGUUGAGAGAAUUUUCUGGUUCAUCUCCAUAUCAGUUGAAGUCGAGGGAAAGAGAGUUAGAGAGGAAGGAAAGAGUGAGGAAGCUCUGUUUUCUUGGUGUGAUUCAACCUUGAGGAGCUGAGGGAGGAAAGAGCAUUCUGUCUCCAUUAUUCCAGCCAUGAACCGUGAAUGAAAAAGGGAGGUAGUUGCUAAGUUCUUAUUUAUUUUCCUACUAUCUUUGGUUAAUAAUGUCUUAGAAUGAAUUAGAACUGA
This 295-nucleotide long non-coding RNA is filed under the name Coffea arabica (coffee). RNAcentral describes it as "long non-coding RNA (CARA_LNC004204)". The record is from RNAcentral. Lineage: Eukaryota; Viridiplantae; Streptophyta; Magnoliopsida; Gentianales; Rubiaceae.